GUUUUUGUAGCUUAUACCUAAAGCAUGACACUGAAAAUGUCAAAAUGGGACACACUCUCCAAAGACA
RNAcentral lists this transfer RNA (67 nucleotides) under Varanus salvator (water monitor). RNAcentral describes it as "tRNA-Phe". It matches the Rfam family "tRNA". Rfam says of the family: Transfer RNA (tRNA) molecules are approximately 80 nucleotides in length. Their secondary structure includes four short double-helical elements and three loops (D, anti-codon, and T loops). RNAcentral also lists the same sequence under 1 other name. Lineage: Eukaryota; Metazoa; Chordata; Lepidosauria; Squamata; Varanidae. The record is from RNAcentral.